CCGAGGUCGACUCCGGGGAGGGGGCGGGGCCGAGGGGGCGCGGCUCCCGGCGGCCCCCGGGGCUGCGGGGUCUUGCCUGCGGGGUUCUCCCGGUCCGCGACUGAAAUCACCGCGUCUGCUCCCCCGCCGCCCUCCGCGCCUUUGCCUGGUUCUGCAUCCUCACUCUGCCCAGGGGUCCCCCAUCUGAGCGCGCGGGAACCCGAAGAAAAGACUGAACCACGUUAAAGCGGGGAGUGGCAGAGGCCUUUGGGCCUCCCGAAACCCCUCUAAAAACAAGAACAAUUCAUAUCCCCCCGCCUCUCCUUUGCAAGCUCAGGUCUCCUGGGAAGGAUCCCCCAUUACCUGGAGACAAGCUCUGGACAGAUCUAGGUUCAAAUCCCAACAUCCCAUGACUUGGGGGAGCCCCAAAGUCCUAAGAGCGCCUCAUCUGUGAAACGGGCUUUACCCACCCACCCCUCGGUGUUGGUAAAAUUAAAUGAGAUCGUGCAUGCCAAUUGUUGAGAACACAGUAAGCGCUCAAUAAAUGUUAGCUGCUGUCAUUUUUAAUGUCAUUGCCGUUGUUAUGAAAAUGGCUUGAAUCCCGACUCCUUCACUGACUCGCUGUGGACCCUAAGGAUCCUGUGGCCGCCCAGCCUCAAUUUUCCCCGUUGUACAAUGCAGACCUUUUCUUCAGAGCUGUUGCAUGCAGGUGGCGUUCCAUAAAUGCAGACUCUUGCCCAAGCGGUGGAGGAGAGUGGAAGCCUCUACAGAGCUUCUCCAGGGUCUCUGGAGUCUCUAGAGCGUGCAGCUUGGCUCUUGGCCCACCCGCACUCCCUUGGAAAUCCGGUUUUAACAGAGAAAGAAAAAGGAGGAGGAGGAGGAGGAGAAUGACACCGAUCCAGAAUCCAGAAUGACACCGAUCCAGAAUCCAGAAACCCCUUCAAAGGCCCCCACCUGGUCCGGUCUCACCACUCACCUGGACCAGCGCAGUAGCCUCCUUCCGGGACUCUGGGCUCCGACCUUUACUUCCUAGUUUAUUUUCCCCACAACAGCCUAAGGAUGCCUGUGAACACCUGAGUCAGGUCACAUCCCUUUUCCGCCUAGAUCCCUCCGUGGCUCCCACUUUCUUUAGAGCAGAAGCCAAAGUCCUGCUGGAAGACCACAGGCCUUGCACUAUUUACCUCCUUCACCUUCGCUUUCACAUCUUCCCCUUGCUCACUCCGUCCAGCCACACCAGCCUCCUGGCUGUCCCUCGAUUAUUUAUCAGUUGAAUUAAAGAACCCUUUGAGUUAUUUCUUUUGCUCCCAAUUUACAGUUGAGGAAACUGAGGCACAUAUCUCCCCAAGACUUUUGGAUAAUUUAGGUCUCCAUUUAAAUGUCACCUUCUCUGGGGCGCCUGGGUGGCUCAGUCGUUAAGCAUCUACCUUCGGCUCAGGUCAUGAUCCCAGGGUCUUGGGAUCAAGCACCGCAUCAGGCUCCCUGCUCAGCGGGAAACCUGCUUCUCCCUCUCCCACUCCCCCUGCUUGUGUUCCCUCUCUCGCUGUCUCUCUCUCUGUCAAAUAAAUAAAAUCUUUAAAAAAGAAAUAAAUGUCACCUUCUCUGAGAGACCAUUCUAUGCUGUCAUAUUUAUUUAAAAUAUGGCCCUGUUUUAUUUAAACUGUCACUCCUCUGAAAUUGACCAGCAUUUGGCCUAUGCUCACUCAGGUUUUGUGGAAUGAGUGAGUAGACACAGGGUGAGGUGUCCUCAGUUAUAACUGAGGAGAAUCCCCAGUUAUGGAGCUGGUGUGUUUAUAGCCCUUGCCCUGUCUUCUUCUAAUUCUUCAGCCCAUCUGUGUUACAGGUGGGGAGGAUGCGGCAAAGCUAGGCUCCAAGCUGACCCAGGGACUGGGCCACUGUGUUCAGGGAUGGGCUUUCUGCUGCCUGCCAGGUCCCAGGCUCCCUCCUCCCUGGAUGGAGCUGGGGAACCCUGCCAAAUUCUCACUCCAACCUUCCAACAUUCGUUUAUUCAGUGGAUAUUUAUCGAUGCCCGCUGGGGACUUUGGUGGCACUGGAAACAGAGUCGCACUCAGGCUUGAAAGAGGGAGACCAAGGACUCAUUGUGCAAUCUCAACUAAAUAUGGUAACUGCACUGGCACCUCCCUGCAGCUGCUCUGGCCCCUCUCCAGUCUGCUUUGGGGCCUCGGAAACUCUAACCUGUCCCUGGUUCUCUGAAGGUCUUAGGAAAAACACCUGUCCCUUACCUGGUCUACAGGGUAGUCUUGUCAGGCCUCUGCCCACCUGUCCAGCUGCAUCCCCCUCUACUCCCCUCAUCCCCAUCCAGCAACACUGGCCUUCCUUCUGUUCCUCAAAUAUUCUCACUUUACUUCCAACCACAGGGCCUUUACACUGGCUGUUUUCUGGUCUGGAAUGCCCUUCCAUCCCAUCUCCCCAAGGCUAGCCUUUUCUGAUCAUUUAGGUCUCUGUUUAAACGUCACCUCUUCUGAGAGAACUUUCCAUACCCUAUCAUAUUUAUUAUAAAUAUGGCCCUGUUUUAUUUAUUUUAACUGUCACUCCUCUCUGAAAUUGCUCAACAUUUGGCCUACACUCACUCAAUCUUUGCAGAAUGUGUGAGUGGACACAGUGUGAGGUGUCAGGAGAAAGGUAUCCCAAGACGACCCAUGCCUUAAGGAGGCAGCUGCCCCACUGUGGAAGAGGCAGAAGGGCUGGCACUAAGGACAAAUUAGGAAACCACAAAGUAGAUAAAGAGGAAUAGGGUGUCUGGUUGAAGGAACAACAGGGCAAAGCCCUAGAAGUGGGUGAGGGAGAAUUUGGCACGUCCUGAUUCUUCCCCUCAUCUCCAUUCUGCUCCCCUCAUUCACACCACUCUGGCCUCCUCACCACUCCUCAAAAAAGCCCAUUACUACCUCAGGGCCUUUGUACUUGCUGUUCCUUUCUGCCUACAGUGUUUUUCCUUCUCAUCUUGGCAUUCUUUCUUCUUCACUUCAUUUCCAUCUUUGCUCAAAUGCCUUCUGAGAGUACUCCCUGCCUGCUACCAAACUACCCCUCACAUAGCUCCAUUUCUCUUCCUUGCAAAUUUUAAUAGAUUUUACUCUAUUUUCUUCCUUGUCUGUCUCAAUCAGGAUGUCAGCUCUCCAAGAACAGAGAUCAUUGUCUUGUUCACUGCUGAGUCCCCAGCUCCUAGAACAGUGUCUAGCACAUGGAAGGUGCUCGAAUAAAUAGCUGCUGGAUGAACAAGUGGUUGAACAAACAGGACAUCAUGGGGACUCUUUCAGAGCCUCCACCCUGGAGAACCAAGUGGCCGCGGGCUAACGCCCACUUCAAAAGCCCUGAACUCCAUGCCAGACGUAGAAGCCACGUUACAUAAAGGCGAGACACUCGCCAAAGGCAAAUCAUCCCCG
Long non-coding RNA from Mirounga angustirostris (Northern elephant seal), 3377 nucleotides. RefSeq lists it as uncharacterized. The record is from RefSeq and is a predicted model, not a curated record. The transcript is spliced from 3 exons. NCBI's taxonomy places the organism in Eukaryota, Metazoa, Chordata, Mammalia, Carnivora, Phocidae.